GAUGAACGCUGGCGGCGUGCCUAAUACAUGCAAGUAGAACGCCGAAGGAGGAGCUUGCUCUUCUGGAUGAGUUGCGAACGGGUGAGUAACGCGUAGGUAACCUGCCUGGUAGCGGGGGAUAACUAUUGGAAACGAUAGCUAAUACCGCAUAACAGUAGAUGUUGCAUGACAUCUGCUUGAAAGGUGCAAUUGCAUCACUACCAGAUGGACCUGCGUUGUAUUAGCUAGUUGGUGAGGUAACGGCUCACCAAGGCGACGAUACAUAGCCGACCUGAGAGGGUGAUCGGCCACACUGGGACUGAGACACGGCCCAGACUCCUACGGGAGGCAGCAGUAGGGAAUCUUCGGCAAUGGACGGAAGUCUGACCGAGCAACGCCGCGUGAGUGAAGAAGGUUUUCGGAUCGUAAAGCUCUGUUGUAAGAGAAGAACGAGUGUGAGAGUGGAAAGUUCACACUGUGACGGUAACUUACCAGAAAGGGACGGCUAACUACGUGCCAGCAGCCGCGGUAAUACGUAGGUCCCGAGCGUUAUCCGGAUUUAUUGGGCGUAAAGCGAGCGCAGGCGGUUAGAUAAGUCUGAAGUUAAAGGCUGUGGCUUAACCAUAGUACGCUUUGGAAACUGUUUAACUUGAGUGCAGAAGGGGAGAGUGGAAUUCCAUGUGUAGCGGUGAAAUGCGUAGAUAUAUGGAGGAACACCGGUGGCGAAAGCGGCUCUCUGGUCUGUAACUGACGCUGAGGCUCGAAAGCGUGGGGAGCAAACAGG
This 763-nucleotide ribosomal RNA is filed under the name uncultured Streptococcus sp. RNAcentral describes it as "bacterial SSU rRNA". It matches the Rfam family "Bacterial small subunit ribosomal RNA", at positions 28 to 776 of the family's 1533-position model. The record is from RNAcentral. Lineage: Bacteria; Bacillati; Bacillota; Bacilli; Lactobacillales; Streptococcaceae.